ACUGGCGGAAUUUCGAGGACAGUAAUGAGCUUGUAAGGCCCACAAGCUGGAGAUUAUCGGAACUUAGCGUUGCGUGCACGCGCGACCUAAAAUGGUUUUGUAAUUUUUUUUUUUUUCGGAAAGUCUCCAUAAGGGACUCGGCACCUGUGUUCUCGCUAUGAUGAAGGCUAUGUUGGUAGGGACAACUGACCUUGUUGAUGAAUACCAACGACUCUGAUGGCGGAGCAUGCUGAGUCACCGAAUGGUGCUGUGGACCUCUCAGGGGCUCUUGCUGGCAUCAUACAGACAGCUCUGGGACAAAGAUGGAUGAAGUGAGGGCCUAUGGAAAAAGCUGGAAUAACCAUGGGUGUGCAGGGUGCUGUGACCAGAAACUACAAGAUGAAAUGUGUUUGAAUUGUCUGGACAACUUUUAAACUACUGGUUGCAUGUUUUCAUUUGGAUGGCUUGCUUGCUUGGGUAUGAGUAUUUUGCCUACAUGACAGAAGAGGGCAAUCAGGUCCCAUUAUAGAUGGUUGUGAGCCACCAUAUGGUUACUGGGAAUUGAGCACCAGAAGAGCAACCAGUGGUCCAAAUUGACCUUGUAAAUGAAGGUGUGCAUGGCUCCCCUUGACUGAAGGCACUGGGCAAGAUUUUAAAAAAAGAUCCUUCAUUUGUGAAUUUCAAGGGCUCCUGUGGCAGAAGUGGGCAUGCAUUUUCACUAUUUGAAUUUCACUUCACUAUUUAAAAGGUGGCUGGCUGGAUGCUCAGAUCAUACUUCGCGUUUUCACAUGAGAAUUUUUAUCACCAAUAAAUAGAAUGUGGAAUUAAA
This is an RNA transcript of Peromyscus maniculatus bairdii (prairie deer mouse), 808 nucleotides long. RefSeq lists it as uncharacterized. Lineage: Eukaryota; Metazoa; Chordata; Mammalia; Rodentia; Cricetidae. The record is from RefSeq and is a predicted model, not a curated record.